GACAAUUGGUCAGAGAACUAUAUAAAAACGAAUUGUAUUAUUAUAAGUGUAUAAGACGAAAAUAUAUGUACUUGCAUGUAUAUAUACAAUUUUCUCACGCUUUACACAAACAGAAAUGCAAUUUAUACAUUUCGCUUCUAUUUGUAUAAGUGAGAAAGACGAGGGUGGCGAGCGAGAUUUGGAAGAGUGGCUGAGCGAGAUCUAGAAGAAGGGAGAGAAGGGAACAAAAAUAUAUGUAUUUGAACAAGUUUCUCUGUUUUAUACAAUUAGAAACAAUUUUUAUACAUUUGUGUUUAUAUAAAAAGUGAGAAAGCGAGUAAGAGAUUGAAGGAGAGUGGCGAGCGAGAUAUUUAGAAAAGAGACGCCUGACAAUUUUUUACAAACUUUUGCUAGGAAACACAAUUAAAUUAAAUCUUAACUACUCUAUUUAUAUUAGAUUAUUAGUUUGUUAUUAUAUAUAAUUUUUCAAAUCAAAUAAAAACUUAUAUGUUACACACGACUCUUUAAUUAUGACUAAAUAGCGGGGGAAGUUUGAAAAGGUAUUUUCUUAAAAGUAAUUGGUAAGACUAAGCUGGGUGUAUAUAUAUAUAUAUGAGGAGAAGCCACCAGCUGUCCUCAUUGACCAUUUUCGCCUUGUUCCAUCUCUAUCUUUUCGCCCAACUGUUCAGUUGAUUAGGGUUUUUCUCUUUUGAUCCAUCAAAUCUUUUGGCGAACAGUUCAGAAUCCUACCGAUCAUGUCCUACGAGAAGCUCGACGGUUUGGCGAGGUGGUUUGGUACUAGUGUUGCAUCGGCGUUUUUCGCAUCCUUGGAACGAUGCUCGUGUGUGAAUCUCAACACUUCCGAAUCAGACGAUGAGGAAGAGGAAGAAGCUAAAGAGCGCCCUCUCAUGAUCUCCGCCCUCUCUUCUCACCUCGAUUCCUGCGCUGCCACCACUAAUCCUACCUCCGCUGAUAACCUCCCCGUUUGAUUAGAACUGGGAUCAUGCUGCAAAUUUGCUGAAGUGGUCCUUUGGCUCCAUCAGCAUGGGUUUCAUUCUUCUUCUCCAUCAACAGAGUGGAUUCACUCUGGUAUAAGUUGUAACGUUUUAGUAGACUUGUGAUAGGAUUGUAUAAAAGUGUGUUGUCUGUUAAAAGUGUCUUUGUAGUACAUUAAAUGCACUGGUAUGCAUUUUCCUUCUCCUUCACCUCAUCAUAUCGGAAGUUACGGUGACAGAAAUGCUAUUUAUAUUUCAAAAUAUCUACAGAUUAUAACUCGUGUUUAUGCA
Molecule: long non-coding RNA, 1265 nt
Organism: Solanum lycopersicum (tomato)
Lineage: Eukaryota; Viridiplantae; Streptophyta; Magnoliopsida; Solanales; Solanaceae
Source: RefSeq, a predicted model, not a curated record